CAAUCGUGACCAGGGAACUCCAAGUGGCUGGGGUAAUACCCAGUUUUUUCUUGGCUCUUCAAAGGUCUUGGAAUAAGGGGUGGGUAAGGACGGUGCCAGCCGCCGCGGUAAUACCGGCGCCUCAAGUGGUAGUCGCUUUUAUUGGGCCUAAAACGUCCGUAGCCGGUCUGGUGCAUUCGUGGGUAAAUCAACCCGCUCAACGGGUUGAAUUCUGCGAGCACGGCCAGACUUGGGACCGGGAGAGGUGUGGGGUACUCUCAGGGUAGGGGUAAAAUCCUGUCAUCCUGAGAGGACCACCUGUUGCGAAGGCGCCACACUAGAACGGAUCCGACGGUCAGGGACGAAACCUAGGGGCACGAACCGGAUUAGAUACCCGGGUAGUCCUAGGUGUAAACGCUGUGGACUUGAUGUUGGGGGCGCUCCGAGCGCUCUCAGUGUCGAAGCGAAGGUGAUAAGUCCACUGCCUGGGGAGUACGGUCGCAAGGCUGAAACUUAAAGGAAUUGGCGGGGGAGCACUGCAACCUGAGGAUUGUGCGGUUUAAUUGGACUCAACGCCGGAA
This 560-nucleotide ribosomal RNA is filed under the name uncultured Candidatus Poseidoniales archaeon. RNAcentral describes it as "bacterial SSU rRNA". It matches the Rfam family "Archaeal small subunit ribosomal RNA", at positions 362 to 923 of the family's 1478-position model. The record is from RNAcentral. Lineage: Archaea; Methanobacteriati; Thermoplasmatota; Candidatus Poseidoniia; Candidatus Poseidoniales.